GUGCUCACUUCGGCAGCACAUAUACUAAAACAGGAAUAAUACAGGGAAGAUUAGCAUGGCCCCUGCCCAAGGAUGACACGCAAAUUCAUGAAGCGUUCCAUAUAUUU
RNAcentral lists this small nuclear RNA (107 nucleotides) under Balaenoptera musculus (blue whale). Lineage: Eukaryota; Metazoa; Chordata; Mammalia; Artiodactyla; Balaenopteridae. The record is from RNAcentral.